GCCCUAAGUUUGGGGAAGCCUGCUCUAAAUAAAUUGAAUAAAGGAGAGCAUUUUAGCUUCCUUCUAUUUUCACAUUUUAUAAAUUCACUUUUCAGUUUUAACAGUGAAAACAUGUAGACCGGGGUGUCCCGACAUAAAAUAAUUUCAUUAUAAAGAUUGGGGCCCUUAUCAGGCAUUGGUAAACUCACAGGAAGUUUCAGAAAAUAAAACUGAACGGAAAAAAAACAGAGGCAAAAAUAGCAGAUCAGAAAAAAUUCUCUAACUCUGUUCAAUGUCCAAACAUGCCUACAUUUGCUUCAGUUACACUGUUUGGAUUUAUAGCGCACAAAUUCUGAGUUUGGUCAACUACCCAGAGUGUCUCACCAUAGUCUCUCAUUCUGUCACAGUGUGUGGUGGCUGUGCUUGGUGUGUGUGUGUGUACACAGUGCAGGCUGCCUGUAUGUGAAGUGUGUGUGUGUACACAGUGUGGGCUGCCUGCAUGUGAAGGGUGUGUGUGUGUGUGUGUGUGUGCGUGUACACAAUGUGGGCUGCCUGUAUGUGAAGUGGGUGUACACAGUGUGGGCUGCCUGCAUGUGAAGUGUGUGUGUGUAUACACACAACGUGGGCUGCCCGUAUGUGAAGUGUGUGUGUGUAUACACACAACGUGGGCUGCCCGUAUGUGAAGUGUGUGUGUGUAUACACACAACGUGGGCUGCCCGUAUGUGAAGUGAGUGUGUACACAGUGUUUGACUGCAUGUAUGUGAAGUGUGUGUGUGUACAGUGUGGGCUGCCUGUAUGUGAAGUGUGUCUGUAUACAGUGUGGGCUGCCUGUAUGUGAAGUGUGUGUAUACAGUGUGGGUUGCCUGUAUGUGGAGUGUGUGUGUAUACAGUGUGGGCUGCCUGUAUGUGAAGUGUGUGUGUAUACAGUGUGGGCUGCCUGUAUGUGAAGUGUGUGUGUAUGCAGUGUGGGCUGCCUGUAUGUGAAGUGUGUGUGUGUGUGUGUAUACAGUGUGGGCUGCCUGUAUGUGAAGUGUGUGUGUGUAUAUAUACAGUGUGGGCUGCCUGUAUGUGAAGUGU
This is a non-coding RNA of Pelobates cultripes (western spadefoot toad), 1056 nucleotides long. The record is from the annotation of a GenBank genome assembly. NCBI's taxonomy places the organism in Eukaryota, Metazoa, Chordata, Amphibia, Anura, Pelobatidae.